CUAAUAAAAAGAUUAUCUCAGAUCUUGUCCGAUAAGCAAAACCCUAGCGUUCUGUCUCUCUCUCUCGAUCUUCUUUUAACCUCGGAGAGUUUUGUCGGAAGAUCCCCAAUUCGAAAACAGAAUCACCACUGACUGAAUUUAGGAAUCGCCAUGGGUUCCAGAUCUCGUAAUGAUAAUUUCCAAUCCGGCGAUGGUGCUAGUCCAGGGAAAAUAUUCAUCGGAGGUUUGCACAAAGACACCACUACUACUGUGUUCAACAAGCACUUUGGCAAGUACGGGGAGAUUACAGAUUCUGUCAUUAUGCGUGAUCGACAUACUGGGCAACCUAGGGGUUUUGGUUUCAUCACCUAUGCCGAUUCUUCUGUUGUUGAUAAAGUCAUUGAAGAUAAUCAUGUCAUCAAUGGCAAACAGGUUGAGAUCAAAAGGACUAUUCCGAAAGGUGCUGGUGGCAAUCAGGCCAAGGAUAUCAAAACAAAGAAGAUUUUUGUUGGUGGCAUACCCUCCACUGUUACAGAAGAUGAGCUUAAGGACUUCUUUGCCAAGUAUGGGAACGUGGUGGAGCACCAGAUUAUUCGAGACCAUGAAACAAACAGGUCCAGAGGUUUUGGUUUCGUGAUUUUUGACAGCGAAGAAGUCGUAGAUGAAUUAUUGUCCAAAGGAAACAUGAUCGAUAUGGCAGACACUCAGGUAAGCUUGUACAAAUGGUGCCUAGAAUUGUGGUGGUACAUGAAGUUAUUUAUAUCUUGGUUUCAUUUUGAAUUUUUCUGCUUGUUCAUUUCGUUAUAAACGUUUAACUUAGUUAGCUUCCCACCCGUUAGCUUCCCACCAAGUGUAAGGAGGUUGUCACAGUAAACUAGGAAGUACUCUGUUAUAGUUUGCAUCCUUAGCAUAGCUAGGUUAAUUAAGUUACUUUGUUGUAGGUGGAGAUCAAGAAAGCUGAACCAAAGAAAUCUUCAAACCGUUCACCUCC
Non-coding RNA from Camelina sativa (false flax), 970 nucleotides. NCBI's taxonomy places the organism in Eukaryota, Viridiplantae, Streptophyta, Magnoliopsida, Brassicales, Brassicaceae. The record is from RefSeq and is a predicted model, not a curated record.